Molecule: long non-coding RNA, 5276 nt
Organism: Gallus gallus (chicken)
Lineage: Eukaryota; Metazoa; Chordata; Aves; Galliformes; Phasianidae
Source: Ensembl
CUUGGCACUGUAACUCCUCCUCCUUUCCCAUCAUAGCAUAAUACAAGCCUACCAAAAUGAUGACUUCUUGAUUUCAGAGAGGGUUAACUGCUUUGUCAACACAGCAGAGGGGCUGGAGCUCCAGCAGGACUGAGGGCAGGGGUUACAGGAGCUGCAUGGGGCGGCAGGGCCGGGACCCUGGCCAGGGUGGUGGGUGGCGGUGCCUGGGGUCCCCUGCCUGCCGACAGAAGUGAUGGGUGGUGCUUCAGUGUGUUGUAAAUUACAACUGCAGUGGGCGUCAUCACCAUUAAUAUCAGUAGCACUGUACCUGGUGGUCGCAUUAUAUAAAAUGUGUGGUCCGUACAAAAGAAGUUCAGACAGAUUUACAGAGAUUCGAAUGUGCCUAACACACCACUGUACUUAACUGUAAGCCGCAAUCAAAGCUUUGUUUCUGUGCACAAUCCAGUCACGCGGUCACAGAACGGCUCAGGCUGGAGGCAUCUCUGCAGAACAGCCCGCGUGGGGAGCGGCUGCUGGGCAGGAUGAGGUCCCACCGGGCACAGCAGACCCACAGCCCGGGCACAGCGCAGAGCGCUCUGAGCUGCAGCCCGGCUGCUGUUUGACCAGCAACCUUUCCCUGCUCCUGUCCUUUUCUUACAGCGGGAUCCCAGGCUGAGCUUCUAGUUCAUCUCUCAAAAGAAAACAGAAGCAACUGCUCUACCACCGAUUUCAGGACGUUCCACAAUUUAUUGACAAUGACAAGACUUCCUGAAAUUUUCUCUCCGGCUGGAGGACUAUCCCAGCAUCCAACCACCCCAGCUCCUAAUAGCAGAGAUGCUCCCAUCCUCCCAGCACCUUGGUGGCCAUUCUCUGGGCUCACUCCAAUGUGUCCGGGUCUGUGUGUUACUGGGGAGCCCACACCUGGACACUGUGGUCUCACCAGAGCUGAGCAGAGGGGAAUGGAACGAUGACCUCGAGCUGCUGGCAGCGCUCCUCACACAGCCCAGGGAUGAGCAAUGCUCAGUGAGAGCCGAGGCAGAAGAGCUGUGCAGUGCCUCAGCUGCUCCCCACCAGCACUUUCCAUCCCCGUGCCGUCCCCAGGUGAGGUUGUGCUGCCCACUCAGCAGUGGGGCUGAGUGCAGUGCUGUGUGCUCUUUGCCAUCCAGCUGCUCCUGUGGGACCUGCUCAGCCAUUCCCCUCCUCAGUGUCCUGUGGUGGCCAGAUGCAGUGGUGCCCAUUGGGCUCCCAGUGCCAGGAGAAGCUGUGUUCUCCCUGAUGGGAGCAUCUGGAGACGCUGUGCUUCUUGUGCCUGGGUGAGACACUGCAGGACCAAGGGGGAGAUGUUCUUCCCCAGCACUGGAUCCUUCCCCAGGGCUGGUGGGUCAAGGAGUCCUUUGGGGGGCAUGGCAUGAGGCUCAGGAGGGAGGCAAUGGGCCCUGCUGGUGGUCCAGCGCUGGAUGCAGUCCCUGCAGGUGAGCCUGAAGGGGACAACAUGAGCCGCGUCCGCCAGUGGGCAGAGACAGAUGGAAUACGUCUCCUCCUCGUGGCCCUCCACCGACUGCACCUGUACCUGCUGGCUCAUGUUGGCAGCUGCCUCCUGACUGACUCCUGGCUGUGGCUGCCCUGGCAUGGAGGAGCUCAGAGAACAGACUCACUGGAGGCUGCCUCUCACAGAGCAGUCAGCAGUGUCUGGGCCUCAGCACCUCUUGCGUGUCGCUGCCAGUGACAGACACCUCUCCUGCCAGUGGCAGGAGCUCUGACAUCUGGUGUUCCUUGAGCAGGAUCCUUGGUCACUUGCAAUCCACUUGCAGGACCUUGACGUCUCACGUACAGCUGGCAAGGCCUUGACAUCUCAUGUUCCACGCAGGGAAGGCACUGAUGUCUCAAGAGUUGUCAGCAGGACUCGGAAGAGGGCAGAACGCUCUGGGUAUCUAUACCCUGAGCCAUCUAUAUAUAUACCCAUCCACACCGUUGUGAAGUCACGAGGUGACAGUGACUCCCCGUGGUGUCACAAGGCACACAGAUGUAGAUUUGUUUUCUGUGAGUUGCCAUGCUAAUAAUAGUUUUGAUGUUUGCCUGCCAGAACCCUGCUAAGAACUUUCAUGGGGCAGUUCCACAGACACUGAGAAACAAACAGCUGCUUGAAACGAUGAGCCCAACUGAUUUGAAGGCAGCUGGGAAAGGAGCUGUUGGGACAGAGAAACUAACAGUAUAAAGUAUUAUACACACAGUAUAAUAUUUCCCAUAAUAUAAUGUAUGUGGGAAAAACAAGCAAUUGUGAUUACACUCUGUAUCACAAUGAAACCUGACAUUGGUUUAAAUGUAAAUGUAACAGUACAAGCUUGUAUUUGUUCUGGCCUGAAAUCCUCACGGAGCUGUAACAAUGAGUCAGCAAUAGCAAAUGAUCACCUCUGCCAGUCUGAGGCUGCAAUCUGAUAUGGAAUGUAAUUAAUAGGAACUGUGAAUUCUACAAUUUCAGUAGAAUUCUACAAUUCUACUAAUUCUAAAUCACAGAAUCAGAAUCACCAAGGUUGGAAAAGACCUCCAAGAUGAUGCAGUCCAACCAUCCACCUACCACCAGUAUUUCCCACUAACCCAUGUCCCUCAGUGCAACAUCUAAAUGUUUCUUCAACACCUCCAGGGUCGGUGACUCCCCCACCUCCCUGGGUAGCCCAUUCCAGCACCUGACCACUCUUUCAGGGAAGAAAUUUUCCUUAACAUCCAACCUGAACCCCCCUCCCCCCCCUGCAACUUGAGGCCAUUCCCUCUCGUCUUAUUGCUAGUUUUGUGGGAGCAGAGGCGGUCCCCCACCUCACAGCCUCCUUUCAGGUGGCUGCAGAGAGUAAUGAGGUCUCCCCGAGCCUCUUCUCCAGACUGAGCAGUCCCAUUUCCCUCAGCCAGUCCCCAUAACACCUGUGCUCCAGAUCCCUCACAGCUUCGCUGCCCUUCCCUGGACACGCUCCAGGGCCUCCAUGUCUUUCUUGUAGUGAGGGGAAUGUUGCAUUGUGCAGAGUAAUGGUGAGCUAAGUACUAACAGCAAUCGGGGAAUGUGGUCUGGGUGACAGAUCUGGCAGCUCAGAUCAACAUCCAUACAGAUUAAGCCAAACCUGCUCAAUGAAAUUCAAUUGUCCUGCUCAUCCAAGGUGCUCCCUCUGCUUGUAUUAAAAAACUGGCAAAACUGUUGGCCUACCUCUGAUCAUAAAAUCCUGUGCUACGCUAAUUACCAAAUUCUGUGAAAAAAAAUCAAGUUUAAUUGUAACUGCAACUGAGCACUGUCCUCAUUCUGCCCAUGAUCCCCACCCAGAGAGCCUGGCUGAUCUCUGAGCUCUGGCUGACAGCUGCUCGGAAGUUCUGGAGUGCUGGGAGAGCUCCUUUGCCCCUUCCCCUUUGCUUGCUUACGCUCACCCCAUAGAGAAAGCAUUGGUUUGCCACUUGUCUGCUCCCUAUGCACCCCUACCAGCAACAUCUCACUCUGAGUAAUCAUCCUCUGUGGCUUUCAGAGUUGCAGUCCCCUGAGGCUCCUUCACUCCCCUCCAGCCCCCCAUUCCCCAGCUGCCACAGCAGCAGAAUCACAUCCCCACCACUCUCCUCCCUGCAGCCCCAACCAGGGCAUUGGCAGUGCCUUCAAGGCAGGUAGGAUCCUGCCAACAACACCAGAUGUAAAGUGCAGGGGUGACUGCUCCUUCCAGAUCCCCUAAGAAAGGGGCCCAGAUUCUGCAAGGCAUUGAUUAAAGUUAAAACACCUGGAGAUAACAUGAGAAAAAAAUACAUCAUCUUACAUUCCUUCAGAUGUUGGGAAGAAGUCGUGCAGCAUUGCAUGGACCUUGAGACAAGACACAGCAUGGUGCUCAGGCUCUGCCAGACUAGGACUUCACCAGCACUGCAGUCUUGAGUGUUGCCCUAGGGCUUUCCCAGGAGCACGCAACGGGAUCCAUCUGCAACUGAACCAGAACACAUUUAGUGAAAACACACUGCUUUACUCCAAGAUAAAGCCAAGGCAGCGUCAUUGCCAGGUGCACAGCAGGAGCUGCCCGCAGGUGUCCCCAUGCAAUGAACUGGGAAGGUUGUCCUGCACCUACUUGGGGCUACCCCCGUGUGGGACCCCUUGAUGUGUGAUGGUCACUCGGCCAGCAGCAGCACAGACAGCUGGGACGGAGAUCUUCCAGAUGCUCCAGCAGCAGCCCUACCGUGCCCGUGCCGGUUUUGGGGAGCGUUAUUUUUUUUCACAGUACUUCCUGCUGUCCCGUGCUUUGGUUUUGUGAUGAAAGCGGUGUUGAAAACAUACAGAUGUAGCUGCAGCUCAGCAGUGCUUACACAGAGUCAAUGUCUUUCCUGUUCCUCAAGCUGCCUUCCCAGUGAGCGUGCUGCACGUGCACAGCUCCUGUCCUGCUGGGAGGGCACACAGCCGGGACGUCCCAGCUCAUGCAGUGCCGUGCUCAGCAAGAGGGCCGCGGGGGAAUUUUUCCAGGGGAAAACUGCUGCCUGGGGGCCGGCUGGGCACUGCUCACAUAGCGGCAUACCAGCCCUCCUGCUUCCUCAUUUCACCUUUCCCACCCGCUUCCCCCUUCCUGCACGGCCGAGGUGGGCGGCUGGCUGUGCCCCGCCUGCCACUGAGCCCACAGCAGCGCCUCCGGCCGGGACAGCGAACCCUGCAGCGCCUCCUGCAUCCGUGCAGGGCGCGGACCCGCUGGAAGGGAAAGGACGGGCAGCGACGUUAACGCUCCUGGCGCUCUAACGGGGGUACCGUGAGAACGGUGAAGGGCGCGAAUCCCGGGACGAGGCAGAAAAUCCCCGCACGGCAAUCUGCGCUGACCUGGCAGCCAACGCGGAGGCAGCAGCGGACAGCCCGGGGGCAUUAACGUUCCUUUGGAAAAGCACACGGAGCGGCUGCGAGGGGACGGGGCGGGGAGCCGCCUCGCCGGGCGAACUCCGCGCUCUCCUCUCUCUGCUCUCGGGGGACGCGGGCAGAGACCCGCGGCCUGCAUCGAGGGGCCGGGCGUUUGGGGCCCGCUCGCGGGGUGGCGGCGUGCCCUCGUGGGGCCCCGCUCGAACCCGGGGGCUGCAGCGGCUCUCGGAGCAGGAAGGAGUGGCAAAGGGCGACGGCGUGCCGCGGAACGGGGCGCUGGAGGAGGGCGGCCUCAGGCGGGGCGGGAGAGGUGGGCGCGUCCCCUUUAAGAGGAAGAGGACGGCGGAGGCGACGGGCGCCGCCGCGGCCGAGCCGCGAAAGCGCACGCGCACAGCUUUUCCCCGUGACUUAUUCGGCGCUGCUCGCGGUGGGAGCCGUGCGCUCGGGCGGG